RNAcentral lists this unclassified non-coding RNA (199 nucleotides) under Arabidopsis thaliana (thale cress). The record is from RNAcentral. Lineage: Eukaryota; Viridiplantae; Streptophyta; Magnoliopsida; Brassicales; Brassicaceae.
AUGAUGGUUUAAUCAUAUCUUCCACCUGUACGCUUUUCGAAGGGAGUAUCACCACAUCCGUCUUCAAGAACUCCUAGAUCUAAAAAUCCAGACGCUUGUCAUGAUGGUUUAAUCAUAUCUUCCACCUGUACGCUUUUCGAAGGGAGUAUCACCACAUCCGUCUUCAAGAACUCCUAGAUCCAAAAAUCCAGACGCUUGU